UACCACAUCUUCACACAGCAUCACUCUCUCUGACCUGAAACCUGGUACUCAGUACUCUGUCACUGUCUGCACUGUGCUGGAAGAUGGAAAGCAAAGUCAACUGGUGUUAACAACCCUCACCACAGUACCUCCUGCUCCGGACCAGCUAACUGUUGACACCACGUCAGGUACUGUUAGCUGGAACCAGCCACCAGGAUUGGACCAAACCCAACAUCAUUACCAGAUCUCCUACCACUGUCCAGGGACAAAACCCAACUACACUACCACAUCUUCACACAGCCUCACUCUCUCUGACCUGCAAUGUGGGACUCAGUACUCUGUCACUGUCUGCUCUGUGCUGGAAAAUGGAAAGAAAAGUCAACUGGUGUCAACAACCCUCACCAAAGUACCCCCAGCUCCAGACCAGCUGACUGUUGA
Coregonus clupeaformis (lake whitefish) is the source of this 417-nucleotide long non-coding RNA. RefSeq lists it as uncharacterized. Lineage: Eukaryota; Metazoa; Chordata; Actinopteri; Salmoniformes; Salmonidae. The transcript has 3 exons. The record is from RefSeq and is a predicted model, not a curated record.